GCGCUCUUAGUGUAGUGGCAACACGCUAGCUUCCCUAGCUGUAAUUGAGGGUUCGAUUCCCUUAGAGCGCU
RNAcentral lists this transfer RNA (71 nucleotides) under Planctomycetaceae bacterium. RNAcentral's name for it is "tRNA-Gly". It matches the Rfam family "tRNA". Rfam says of the family: Transfer RNA (tRNA) molecules are approximately 80 nucleotides in length. Their secondary structure includes four short double-helical elements and three loops (D, anti-codon, and T loops). Lineage: Bacteria; Pseudomonadati; Planctomycetota; Planctomycetia; Planctomycetales; Planctomycetaceae. The record is from RNAcentral.